RNAcentral lists this ribosomal RNA (340 nucleotides) under uncultured Pseudomonadota bacterium. Its description in RNAcentral is "bacterial SSU rRNA". It matches the Rfam family "Bacterial small subunit ribosomal RNA", at positions 29 to 351 of the family's 1533-position model. The record is from RNAcentral. Lineage: Bacteria; Pseudomonadati; Pseudomonadota.
AACAAACGCUGGCGGCGUGCCUAACACAUGCAAGUCGUACGUGAAAAUCCACUUCGGUGGAUGAGUAAAGUGGCGCACGGGUGAGUAACGCGUGGAUAAUCUGCCCUUUAGUCUGGGAUAACUCAUCGAAAGGUGGGCUAAUACCAGAUAAUGCUGUUUUUACUUCGGUGAAGCAGCCAAAGGGGGCCUCUAUUUAUAAGCUUCCGCUUAAGGAUGAGUCCGCGUACCAUUAGCUAGUUGGUAGGGUAAAAGCCUACCAAGGCGACGAUGGUUAGCUGGUCUGAGAGGAUGAUCAGCCACACUGGAACUGAGACACGGUCCAGACACCUACGGGUGGCAG